UCGAGGGGUAACAGGAAAAAGCUUGCUUUUUUGCCGACAACCGGCGCACGGGUGCGUAACGCGUAUAGAACCUACCUUUUACUGAGGGAUAGCCUUUAGAAAUGAAGAUUAAUACCUCAUGGCAUCAUUUAGUGGCAUCACUAUAUGAUUAAAGAUUUAUUGGUAAAAGAUGGCUAUGCGUCCUAUUAGUUAGAUGGUGAGGUAACGGCUCACCAUGGCAUCGAUAGGUAGGGGUCCUGAGAGGGAGAUCCCCCACACUGGUACUGAGACACGGACCAGACUCCUACGGGAGGCAGCAGUGAGGAAUAUUGGACAAUGGGCGCAAGCCUGAUCCAGCCAUGCCGCGUGCAGGAAGACUGCCCUAUGGGUUGUAAACUGCUUUUAUACGGGAAGAAACACCCCUACGUGUAGGGGCUUGACGGUACCGUAAGAAUAAGCACCGGCUAACUCCGUGCCAGCAGCCGCGGUAAUACGGAGGGUGCAAGCGUUAUCCGGAAUCAUUGGGUUUAAAGGGUCCGCAGGCGGUCAAUUUAAGUCAGAGGUGAAAUCCCACAGCUUUAACUGUGGAACUGCC
RNAcentral lists this ribosomal RNA (574 nucleotides) under uncultured Flavobacteriaceae bacterium. RNAcentral describes it as "bacterial SSU rRNA". It matches the Rfam family "Bacterial small subunit ribosomal RNA", at positions 62 to 625 of the family's 1533-position model. The record is from RNAcentral. Lineage: Bacteria; Pseudomonadati; Bacteroidota; Flavobacteriia; Flavobacteriales; Flavobacteriaceae.